Molecule: non-coding RNA, 156 nt
Organism: Arachis ipaensis
Lineage: Eukaryota; Viridiplantae; Streptophyta; Magnoliopsida; Fabales; Fabaceae
Source: RefSeq, a predicted model, not a curated record
AGGUAGUACCUUAUGAACGUCCUGUACUAAGCAAGACUUACCUUUUUCCUGAGUCCCCUGCUAGACUUCCUGGUUUCCAUGUUUGUGUUGGAAGUGGAAGAGAAAGAUUGCUUCCUGAGUGGUAUAAUGAAAAAGGUAUAGAGUUGAUUCUUAGCA